RNAcentral lists this unclassified non-coding RNA (360 nucleotides) under fungal sp. Its description in RNAcentral is "partial internal transcribed spacer region". The stretch from base 1 to 46 matches the Rfam family "Eukaryotic small subunit ribosomal RNA", at positions 1786 to 1831 of the family's 1831-position model. Lineage: Eukaryota; Fungi. The record is from RNAcentral.
AAGUCGUAACAAGGUUUCCGUAGGUGAACCUGCGGAAGGAUCAUUAUCACGUAUCCACGUAUAAACCAUUGUGAACUAGUAAUCUUUUUAUCCUUUGGAAGAGAGUGAGGUUGUGGGAUUGUUAAACAUUAUGAAACUCUAUUUAAAGUGAUUUGUAGUUUCGUUUUUCAAUCUCCUAUGGUUCUUCGGAGCUAUACUCGUUCACUUUUCAAAGUGUAUUUUAAAUCACUUUUUAAAAAUUAACAAAUGAAACUCAAUUUUAUAAACUUUUGAACUGACUUAUUUCUUACUCUUUAAUUGGAGAAGAAAUUCAUUUACGAAACAUAAGAACAACUCUUAGCAACGGAUAUCUUGGUUCUC